This 305-nucleotide ribosomal RNA is filed under the name Nymphalis urticae turcica. RNAcentral describes it as "Aglais urticae turcica partial 28S ribosomal RNA". It matches the Rfam family "Eukaryotic large subunit ribosomal RNA", at positions 38 to 327 of the family's 3401-position model. The record is from RNAcentral. Lineage: Eukaryota; Metazoa; Arthropoda; Insecta; Lepidoptera; Nymphalidae.
GCAUAUUAGUAAGCGGAGGAAAAGAAACUAACUAGGAUUUCCUUAGUAGCGGCGAGCGAACAGGAAAUAGCCCAGCACUGAAUCCCGCGGUUGUAACGAUCGCGGGAGAUGUGGUGUUCGGGAGGUAUCGCUUUCUCGUCGUCGCCACUCCUGUCCAAGUUCGUCUUGAACGGGGCCGUUUUCCUGUAGAGGGUGCCAGGCCCGUAGCGUCGGAGCGAGACGGCGAGAGGUACGCUCCUCAGAGUCGGGCGCAGAGAGUGCAGCCCUAAAUGUGUGGUAUACUCCAUCUAAGGCUAAAUAUUACG